RNAcentral lists this ribosomal RNA (465 nucleotides) under uncultured bacterium. RNAcentral describes it as "partial 16S ribosomal RNA". It matches the Rfam family "Bacterial small subunit ribosomal RNA", at positions 28 to 506 of the family's 1533-position model. The record is from RNAcentral.
GAUGAACGCUGGCGGCGUGCUUAACACAUGCAAGUCGAACGGAAAGGCUCCUGCUUGCAGGGGUACUCGAGUGGCGAACGGGUGAGUAACACGUGGGUGAUCUGCCCUGCACUUCGGGAUAAGCCUGGGAAACUGGGUCUAAUACCGGAUAGGACGAUGGUUUGGAUGCCAUUGUGGAAAGUUUUUUCGGUGUGGGAUGAGCUCGCGGCCUAUCAGCUUGUUGGUGGGGUAAUGGCCUACGAAGGCGUCGACGGGUAGCCGGCCUGAGAGGGUGUACGGCCACAUUGGGACUGGGAUACGGCCCAGACUCCUACGUGAGGCAGCAGUGGGGAAUAGUGCACAAUGGGCGCAAGCCUGAUGCAGGGACGCCGCGUGGGGGAUGACGGCCUUCGGGUUGUAAACCCCUUUCGCUAGGGACGAAGCGCAAGUGACGGUACCUGGAGAAGAAGCACCGGCUAACUACGG